This is a non-coding RNA of Hypoxylon cercidicola, 72 nucleotides long. The record is from the annotation of a GenBank genome assembly. NCBI's taxonomy places the organism in Eukaryota, Fungi, Ascomycota, Sordariomycetes, Xylariales, Hypoxylaceae.
GGUCUCGUGGCGCAACGGUAGCGCGUUCGACUCCAGAUCGAAAGGUUAUCCGUUCAAAUCGGGUCGGGAUCA